AGUGAACGCUGGCGGUAGGCCUAACACAUGCAAGUCGAACGGCAGCACAGUAAGAGCUUGCUCUUACGGGUGGCGAGUGGCGGACGGGUGAGGAAUACAUCGGAAUCUACUUUUUCGUGGGGGCUAACGUAGGGAAACUUACGCUAAUACCGCAUACGACCUACGGGUGAAAGCAGGGGAUCUUCGGACCUUGCGCGAUUGAAUGAGCCGAUGUCGGAUUAGCUAGUUGGCGGGGUAAAGGCCCACCAAGGCGACGAUCCGUAGCUGGUCUGAGAGGAUGAUCAGCCACACUGGAACUGAGACACGGUCCAGACUCCUACGGGAGGCAGCAGUGGGGAAUAUUGGACAAAGGGCGCAAGCCUGAUCCAGCCAUACCGCGUGGGUGAAGAAGGCCUUCGGGUUGUAAAGCCCUUUUGUUGGGAAAGAAAAGCAGCAGGUUAAUACCCCGCUGUUCUGACGGUACCCAAAGAAUAAGCACCGGCUAACUUCGUG
RNAcentral lists this ribosomal RNA (492 nucleotides) under uncultured bacterium. Its description in RNAcentral is "partial 16S ribosomal RNA". It matches the Rfam family "Bacterial small subunit ribosomal RNA", at positions 29 to 507 of the family's 1533-position model. The record is from RNAcentral.